GGGCCCGUAGUCUAGCGGCUAGGAUGCCCGCCUGACGCGCGGGAGAUCCCGGGUUCGAAUCCCGGCGGGCCCA
Molecule: transfer RNA, 73 nt
Filed under: Thermoproteus tenax Kra 1
Lineage: Archaea; Thermoproteati; Thermoproteota; Thermoprotei; Thermoproteales; Thermoproteaceae
Description: tRNA-Val (GAC) (tRNA-Val-GAC-1-1)
Rfam family: tRNA
About the family: Transfer RNA (tRNA) molecules are approximately 80 nucleotides in length.
Source: Rfam by way of RNAcentral